RNAcentral lists this long non-coding RNA (5601 nucleotides) under Sus scrofa (pig). RNAcentral's name for it is "lncRNA (ENSSSCG00035022442.1)". Lineage: Eukaryota; Metazoa; Chordata; Mammalia; Artiodactyla; Suidae. The record is from RNAcentral.
UGAGAUCUGAGGCAAAUUAAGUAAAUUGACUAAAGUUAUACAGACAACACACUGCCUGAUCAUGAACUGAAUUAUCUUUAAAAUUAUUAUUGGUACAUAAUCAAAGCAAAGUAUCACAAAGUUUCAGAAUUAUUCAAUAGAACGUAACACUUCUGGGGAAAUGCAUCUCGCUGAAAUGGAUAUUGUUGCUUUUUAAAAUUCAUAAAUCUGUGAAUGAUUAUAUCUUAUUGCUGGGACGGGAAGGAUUGAGCAUCAAUACCACUCUUAAGUUUUAGUUUUUAUAACUGUAUGGCCUUAGAAACGGUGUAUAAACAAGUACUAUACCUGGUAAUCCUAAUCCUACUGUAGCAACGUUGUAACUGAGCAGGGUCCUGUGAGGCUCCUGGGCACACAAGCCUUUCUGUGUCCUUCAUUUCCUGUUUUUAAGGAAUAAGCUUCAGUCUCCAUGACCUUCCCUGAGCUCCAAAGGGCGGUUGAUAAUCAGGGCAGGAAAGGGAUGCAGCGAUCAGGGAGCAGCAGUCGAGAGACAAUAAUGCAGCCUUGGGGCAGGGCCCUGGUUCCUCCUCAAGGAAUAUACAUAACAAUGUCUUGGAGCCUUUUUGCAGAACUAAAAUCCCCAACCAAGGGAAGAACUGCUUGAUGAAGGAGGACCUCCAGAACCAGUCCUGGGCUGCUAAUUAUUUCUCAGCUUUGAUCCUUAUCUGCAGCCUUAUUUUCCACUCCCCAAAGUAUAAAACCACCCCCUAAUCUCUCCCAAGGAGGGCACAGUCUUUAAGGCAUUGGUCUGCUGUGCCCUCCUUUACCUGGCAAAGCAAUAAAGCUCUCUUUUUCUCCUUCACCUAAAACUCUGUCUCCAAAUUUCCAUUCAGCAAUGGCAGACAGAAGCUGAGUUUCGGCAGCAAAAUUUGAGGGCUCAUCCAGGAUCUGCCUGUGGGCAGGCGGCCCCACAGUGCUCUUGGCUGGAUCAGACACUUUGAGGUUUCUCUCCACACCAGUCCCCCUAUAGGUUAGCAGAGGAUUGGAGGAAUCUUUUAGAGGCCAGACUGCUGAGAGUUUCCUGCCAUGGGGCCGGCCCUGAGCAGAGCUGACUGGCCAUCUUGGAAGUUGGAACUCCAGGGUGGAAGAGUGGUUGGUAGGCAGCUCUCACUGGCCUUGGGGGGACUCCUUCCUUUCCCUCUGCUCCUGCCGACCAGAACUUCCCACUUCAAGAAGACUUUUUGGGAAGAGGAAAAGUAGCAUCUGUGAUUUCGAGACACCUCUGCCAGCAUCUGGCAUCUUACUUGCUGUUGGAAGUCUGGCUUGACCCAAUGUGAGGCCCUCUUCUCCAUUCCAGAUCCAGGACACCAUUCCCUGAAGGAGCCAUCAGGGGCCUGUGGGAUAGAGGCCAUUGCCGGGGAUGCCCUGAUAGAGGUAAGUGAAGCCCCAGAAGAUCAGCUUUGUCCAGGGGGCCAGGGGUCCUCAGGAUUAUAACAGCAGUGGACCCAGGAUGCUUCCCGUCUGGGAUCAGGGACUAUGGAAAACAAUGGAGUAGGACUCCAGGGACCAACAGAAAGAAACAUUCUACUGGGAAACAUGAGCGGCAGUCCUGGGCCUUUCACAUGUCAUUUUUUUUUUCCACGGAUGAGUCACAUAUGUUAUUGAAGCAUCAGUUUUCUCAUCUUCAAAAUGGAGUCCGUACUUACCUUUUUGUCUCUCUUACCCUCCACAACACCACAGACUCCAACAGGCAGGGACUAUAUUUUAUUUUCAGCGUCCCAAUUACAUCCAGCUCAUGGUAUAUUACCUGGCACCUUGUAGCCACGAUAACUACUUGUUGAAAACUAAAGUGAGUGUAGGAGUUCCUGUCAUGGCUCAGUGGUUAAUGAACCUUACUAGUAUCUAUGAGGAGGUGGGCUCGAUCUCUGACCUUGUUCAGUGGGUUAAGGAUCUGGUGUUGCUGUGAGCUGUGGGGUAGGUCGUAAAUGCAACUCAGAUCCCCCGUUGUUGUGGCUGUGGUGUAGGCUGGCAUGUAGCUGUUUCGACCCCUAGCCUGGAAACCUCUAUAUGAUGUGGGUGCAGCCCCAAAAAGACCAAAACAAAUUAAAGUGAGUGUAACAUAAGAAAGCAUAGAUAUAAAUGUUUGUAAACUUCAGGUAUAACAACAAUGUUCUCACCACCUCCAAGAUUAGCAUCCGUUUCUAUGCUUAGCAGGCAUACAGUUUGUGUUGGCUGAUAGCCUCCACAUCCUCUGUGCAAUGUAGAGCAUAUUGUGAGGUUGUUUUCAUCAAAAAUACGGAAUAUUUUCAAGCAGGAGAGCACCUGUCCUGUGUCAGACCGUACCUAUAAAUCUCCAGGUUGUCUAAGGUCUGAUGGCAGGUAGGUAACAUGCAGGUCUCUACCUGCUCCCUCUGUACUCAGAGAACAUAUUGCUUAAGACGCUUUCCUGCUGAGCCUGAACGUGGCUUCCACAUUCUUCUCUCCUGCUGUAAAAAUAGGGCUGUCCUUAUCCUUCAACCCAAACAAAUAUCUCAAAGAAUUAUGAUUUGGUUUUGCUGCUAGGAAAAAAGAGAAAUAGCAAAGAGGGAAUGAAUCAAUCCAUCCAAGGGAGAUUACUGUUAAAUUGAUUAGAAACAAGCCCCACCCCCACCCCUGCAUAGAAAGGCCACACCCAGAACACCGGAUUCAACUGCUCUGUCUCGGUGAUGGGCUGCAUUUUUUUUUUUAAUAAUAUUUUAAAGCACUUUACAAACAUUUCUAAAUUGAUAUAAUGCCUUGGAACCAGUUUAGAACACAGCAACAAGAGUGAUUAAAAGGCCAGAAGAACUGAUUUAUAAUGAAAGAUAAAGAAUGGAAUAUGACCUGAAGUUUCCAUCUUGGCUCAAUGGUUAAUGAACCCGAUUAGUAUCCAUGAGGACGCCGGUUUGAUCCUUGGCCUUGGUCAGUGGGUUAAGGAUCUGGCAUUGCCAUGAGCUGUGGUGUAAGUCACAGAUGCCUCUUGGAUCCCACGUUGCUGUGGCUGUGGUGUAGGCCGGUGGCUGUAGCUCUGAUUUGACCCCUAGCCUGGAAACCUCUGUAUGCUGUGGGCGUGGCCCUAAAAAGCAAGAAAAAAAAAAAAAAAAGAAUAGAAUAUGACCUGAAAUUUGACCAAAGAUGCAUUGGCAGUUAUCUCAGCCACCUGUAAUUACCUGGCAGUGUGUGAACUCCAAAGUGAGAGAUGGAUUAUUGCAUUCUGCCAUUAGGGGUUUUAAAAGAGAAAGCUCAUUUCUUUUUUUUUUUUUUUUUUAAGGAGAAAAGUUUAGCCAGGCAGAUCGAUUCUCUAAGGGCUCAGAAAGCUGUAGACUCAAGGUUGCUGUAGGACCAAGAGAAUGACUCUCUUUUACCAUCAGGCGUAAAACCAAAGCCUUCUUCCAUCCACCCGCCUUCCCAUCCUCCCCUCUCUCACGGUCCAUUGGCAAUAGUUUAUGAUUUGGAGAGACUUUACUGUCUUUGUAUCUCUGGGAAUAAACUGAGGAUCUGCAGAAUCAACUUAAGGAAAAUUAAAGGCAUGAAUUCCUGUCUACAAGGAGCUAAUUUGGAGACUAAACAGGGACGGAGUUCCAUACUCUUCCUGUGUACCUACUAAAGGACUGAAUUCUUCUCAUUGGUACCUGGGGCCUGGGACCCUGGCCACAGGGAAGUUUCGGGAGUUGGGUUGUGUGGGGAAUGGUGGUGCCUAUUUUGAUCGGCUGUGGCCCAGUGGAAAUCAAUGAUACUGACCCAUGCAAAGCUGAACUUAAGAACUACUGGAAAAAUGAACACUUUCAAAUCCCAAAGCAUAGGGUCUGCAAAAGAGGUUAAUUUGGUGGAAUAAAUAGGUUCACAAGAAUAGGUGGAUCCAGAAGACAAGCUGAUGACUUAUAGGCAGAGGAGUGAGUCUUUGAAAAAGAGCUGUGGUCAUAGUGACAAGUGGAUGUUUGCUAUGGGGCUGUAAGGAGAGUGGGAGACACACACACCAGUAGAACCAGUAGACGAUUGAUUGAGCAGCUAAGGCUCAGUGCCGCUAUCAUGCACAAUGGCAGCAAGUCCCUUCUUAUAGUGUUUGGUGUGUGAUCGGUGUCCCUGGACUUAGGAGAGGCAGAAACACCUAAGGGGCUCUGACAGAGGGUUACGGGGGUGCAGAGGAGGAGCCAUGAUCUAUUCAGAAGCAUUUGGGAAGAGUUUCAGAGGACAUGACAUUUAUGCUAAUUCAUGAUGAUGCAGAAUUUACUAGGAAAAGAGAGAGGGAAACGAAUUCCAGACAGAGGACAAAACUACAAAUGUAAGGGGGUCUGGGGGAGCUGAGUUGCCCUGAGCACUGUCUGCAAGAUGGCAGGGGGAGGCAGGGGGGAGAUCUUGGAACAGCAUGUUGCUGGGAGGGCACCAUUCCCUGGGCACGGGGAAGUCAUGGAAGAGUUACGCAGGAAGCUAUUUGACGAGAGAAAGGUUAGGAAAGAUAGAGAGGGUGGAGGUGAGGUGAGGCUGGUGGCAGGGCACCAACUGGGAGGCUGCUGAAAUAGCCCAGGCAAGAAGGGUCUGACCAAUGUCACUGGGGUGGGAGGAAGGAUCGGCAGGGACGACCUCAUGGGUCUUUCCCUCACACCUUUGCCCACGUCUGCUUCCCUUCUGAUGAAUCAGGCCGGACGGCUCUUACAUUUAUGCGGUCGAGGUCACUGCUGGCUAGGGCAUGGAAAUACCUGGAAAUGUUUUAUUUUUAACUUGCUUGGGCACAGAGACUGACAAAUAUCUCGAACAACGGAACUUGGCAUGUCCUUCAUCAUCUGGCAAAAUGACUCUGCCUUAUUAAUAGCGGGAGCCGGCUCAUAACUCUUAGCCGCAUUUCUAACAAACCCUUUCCCUUUCUCUGGGGUUGAUAAAUUUGAUAAAAAUUUGGAGUGGUGCGGAAAGGUUAUGUGGAGCACAUUCCAUGUCCCGCAGGUUGAGAACCAGAUGGAUUUUCAGUCAUGGACUCUAAUAAUGUGUGAUAUUAUAGGGAGCAGAGUACACAAAAUAUUACAGCAAGUCCCAAGCACUAUACUUACCACAAUCUCCUGAGUUUACAGCCCUCCCACCAGAUACCUAAUAUAUAAGAUUGUGGUCCAGUGCUAUAAACGGGCUUAACACAGUCUAUUCUGAAAAACUGGUACUUCAAUAAAUAAGAUAAGUGGAGGAACCAGGAUAUAAGAAAACAUAUAAAAAACCUUUUGAAGGUCACCCAAGCCUGGGGAGAUAAAACUCAAUAGUUCAGGGACAGAAGCGAAAUGGAGUUUUCUUUGUUUUAGAUAGAAAAUUACAAGGCGCUGUUUGAGGUUAUAGCUGGAGCUGGAGUAGUCCCUUGCAAGAGUGCAAUUUAACAAGCCAGCUAGGAAUCUGACCCCAUGUGCCUAAAGGAAACAGAUAACUUUUGGUUGGCUCCUUACCGUGAUGAGAAAUGCCCCACUAGGAAGGGAAACUUCAGAGGGCAUGAAAAAUGGCCUGUGCCUUGUUUCGAGUGGUAAAUACAUCGGCAGAGUCCAACUGACAAAACUCAUCAAAUUGAACACCAAAGAUGGGGGCAUUUUACUGAUACCAACCCAUCGAGAAACAUAAACAAUUAAAAAAAAAAAA